RNAcentral lists this ribosomal RNA (504 nucleotides) under uncultured bacterium. RNAcentral's name for it is "partial 16S ribosomal RNA". It matches the Rfam family "Bacterial small subunit ribosomal RNA", at positions 29 to 523 of the family's 1533-position model. The record is from RNAcentral.
AUUGAACGCUGGCGGCAGGCCUAACACAUGCAAGUCGAACGGUAGCACAGAGAGCUUGCUCUCGGGUGACGAGUGGCGGACGGGUGAGUAACGUCUGGGAAACUGCCCGACGGAGGGAGAUAACUACUGGAAACGGUAGCUAAUACCGCAUAACGUCGCAAGACCAAAGUGGGGGACCUUCGGGCCUCACACCAGCGGCUGUGCCCAGAUGUGAUUAGCUAGUAGGUGGGGUAAUGGCUCACCUAGGCGACGAUCCCUGGCUGGUCUGAGAGGAUGACCAGCCACACUGGAACUGGGACACGGUCCAGACUCCUACGGGAGGCAGCAGUGGGGAAUAUUGCACAAUGGGCGCAAGCCUGAUGCAGCCAUGCCGCGUGUAUGAAGAAGGCCUUCGGGUUGUAAAGUACUUUCAGCGGGGAGGAAGGCGGUGGAGUUAAUAACUUCACCGAUUGACGUUACCCGCAGAAGAAGCACCGGCUAACUCCGUGCCAGCAGCAGCCGCGG